UACGUAGGGUGCUAGCGUUGUUCGGAAUCAUUGGGCGUAAAGCGCGUGUAGGUGGUUAUGUAAGUCGGAUGUGAAAUCCCUGGGCUCAACCGAGGAAGUGCAUUCGAAACUACAUAGCUAGAGGACAGUAGAGGAAGGUGGAAUUCCAAGUGUAGAGGUGAAAUUCGUAGAUAUUUGGAGGAAUACCGGUGGCGAAGGCGGCCUUCUGGGCUGGCCCUGACACUGAGACGCGAAAGCGUGGGUAGCAAACAGG
Molecule: ribosomal RNA, 253 nt
Filed under: uncultured bacterium
Lineage: Bacteria
Description: partial 16S ribosomal RNA
Rfam family: Bacterial small subunit ribosomal RNA
Source: RNAcentral